UACAGAGGGGGCAAGCGUUGUUCGGAAUUACUGGGCGUAAAGGGUGCGCAGGCCGCGCGGGCAGUCAAAUGUGUAAUUCAGGGGCUCAACCCCUGCACUGCGCUUGAUACUUCCGCGCUCGAGCUUUGGAGAGGAGUCUGGAAUUCUCGGUGUAGCAGUGAAAUGCGUAGAUAUCGUGAGGAAGACCAGUGGCGAAGGCGGGUCUCUGGACAGUUCCUGACACUGAGGCACGAAGGCCAGGGGAGCAAACGGG
Molecule: ribosomal RNA, 253 nt
Filed under: uncultured bacterium
Lineage: Bacteria
Description: partial 16S ribosomal RNA
Rfam family: Bacterial small subunit ribosomal RNA
Source: RNAcentral